AAAUCAAAAUCAAUCCAAUUUAAAAAAACAUUCUUUCAUAACAAAAUACAAUCUUUUGAUCCUUAUUAACGAUGCUGGAAUAAUUGAAGAUUUUCCAAGUUAUAGAUAGGAGAGAGACAGUAAGAAAUGAGGAGCCAUUGUAGAGCUUCAUAUUAGAGUCCGAUUAAAUCUAAAUUUGAGUAAAAAAAUUCUAUAUUGGAG
RNAcentral lists this long non-coding RNA (201 nucleotides) under Solanum tuberosum (potato). RNAcentral describes it as "long non-coding RNA (STUB_LNC002002)". The record is from RNAcentral. Lineage: Eukaryota; Viridiplantae; Streptophyta; Magnoliopsida; Solanales; Solanaceae.